Molecule: ribosomal RNA, 305 nt
Filed under: uncultured bacterium
Lineage: Bacteria
Description: bacterial SSU rRNA
Rfam family: Bacterial small subunit ribosomal RNA
Source: RNAcentral
GCUCCCUACGGGAGGCAGCAGUGAGGGAUAUUGGUCAAUGGGGGAAACCCUGAACCAGCAACGCCGCGUGAGGGAAGACGGUUUUCGGAUUGUAAACCUCUGUCCUCUGUGAAGAUAAUGACGGUAGCAGAGGAGGAAGCUCCGGCUAACUACGUGCCAGCAGCCGCGGUAAUACGUAGGGAGCAAGCGUUGUCCGGAUUUACUGGGCGUAAAGCGCUCGUAGGCGGUAUGUCAAGUCAAGGGUGAAAUCCCCGCGCUCAACGUGGGAACUGCCUUUGAAACUGGCAAACUGGAGUGUGUGAGAG